RNAcentral lists this ribosomal RNA (253 nucleotides) under uncultured bacterium. RNAcentral describes it as "partial 16S ribosomal RNA". It matches the Rfam family "Bacterial small subunit ribosomal RNA", at positions 524 to 776 of the family's 1533-position model. The record is from RNAcentral.
UACGGAGGAGGCAAGCGUUAUCCGGAAUCAUUGGGCGUAAAGCGCGUGUAGGCGGCCCGGUAAGUCCGCUGUGAAAGUCCAGGGCUCAACCCUGGGAUGCCGGUGGAUACUGUCGGGCUCGAGUCCGGAAGAGGCGAGUGGAAUUCCUGGUGUAGCGGUGAAAUGCGCAGAUAUCAGGAGGAACACCGAUGGCGAAGGCAGCUCGCUGGGACGUGACUGACGCUGAGACGCGAAAGCGUGGGGGGCAAACAGG